Molecule: long non-coding RNA, 1413 nt
Organism: Xiphophorus hellerii (green swordtail)
Lineage: Eukaryota; Metazoa; Chordata; Actinopteri; Cyprinodontiformes; Poeciliidae
Exons: 4
Source: RefSeq, a predicted model, not a curated record
CAUAUGAAAAUUCUAAUUAAUUAUCAUUCUGACCAAAUGAAUGCAUGCUUGUCUGAAGAAAUUAUACAAAAUAUGUAUAUAAAUAAAUACAAGAGAUCUGUCCUGCCAACAGUUGUCUUCAAUUACUCUUUGAAGAAUCUAAAUUAAUGAACUACAACAUUUAAUUUUCCUCUGUGCUUAAUAAAAUACUUUUGAAUUGAAUUUGAAUUUUUCUUUUUAUAUUAUAUAUUUUUUUGGUUACCAUAGUGGCGGCUUUUAGCUCUCUUAAUAACCGGAGGAGUCACACAUAUUGACGGAUAGAUUUGGUAAAAAUUUGAUGAGUUAAUUAAUUAUUGAAUCAUUUAAAAAGAAAAAUUUAACUAUUAACUAUUUAACAGUUUCCAUGGUGGUGUGUUUGACUGCAAUGGCUUUCAGCGAUCUCACCAAUAAGACAAGAUCCAGAUAUUGUUGAGCGGAUUUGCUUAAAAAUAGGACAUCAAUGUCACAUAGUGAGUGUGUUACAGGCCCAGUCUUUCCCUAGGGGGCGGUAGAGAGCAACGUGUAGGUGCUGGGAGGAAGAAGGAGAGCAGAGCGAGAGCGAAGACCUUGUGUAGAGCGGAGUGUGUUAGCUUUAGAGAUGCCAGCUGUCCAGUACGUUGUACUUGUUCAUCCUGCCAAAAAGAGGAAUAAAGUUCUAGAAGCUUUCAUCUGCCUCCUCCUUGCUUUUGCCACCAGCGGACCAGAACCUAUACAAGCUUGUUACCAGCGAAUGAGCCAAAAUAGACACCAGCCUGUUCUGGGCUUACCAACACUGGGGGCUCGCGCCGGGGUCGCUCUGCUAAAAAACAAAACAACACAACAGUCACUAAUCAAACUUCUAAAAAGAGCAACAAGAGUAAUUAACAAGGCUAAGGACCAGGAUCAGACUAACCCAUUAUUUAUCCAAAUAUUUUGCUCAUAUACACAAUUUUGUACUGAACUACAAAAUACUCCUGAAAUAAAUAAAGCCAAUACUGAGCACAAUUUCAUUCAUAAAUAUAAAAACAAUUCUAAGUACUGCAUUGCAACUGAAAAUUGCCCAUUGCUAAUCACUAAGCAUAAUAGUUUGCAUUGCAAAUUGCCAUCUGAAUAAAUGUGCCACCUUAUAGCAGCCAUUACAUAAUAUAUGUAAUAUGUAUAUAUAUAGCGACGUCGCGUUCAUAGCGACGUCGCUUUUUGAUCAUUCGAUGUCGGCUCUUCCUAUCAUUGUGAAGCAGAAUUCACCAAGCGUUGGAUUGUUCACCCACUAAUAGGGAACGUGAGCUGGGUUUAGACCGUCGUGAGACAGGUUAGUUUUACCCUACAGAUGAUGUGUUGUUGCAAUAGUAAUCCUGCUCAGUAUGAGAGGAACCGCAGGUUCAGACAUUUGAAGAGCCCAGGUCUGAACUCCACUCA